UACGGAGGGUGCGAGCGUUGUCCGGAAUCACUGGGCGUAAAGGGCGCGUAGGCGGCCUGGUAAGUAGGGGGUGAAAUCCUGCGGCUUAACCGCAGGGCUGCCUUCUAAACUGUCAGGCUCGAGCACGGUAGAGGCAGAUGGAAUUCCCGGUGUAGCGGUGGAAUGCGUAGAGAUCGGGAGGAACACCAGUAGCGAAGGCGGCUCGCUGGGCCGUUCCUGACGCUGAGACGCGAAAGCUAGGGGAGCGAACAGG
This 253-nucleotide ribosomal RNA is filed under the name uncultured bacterium. RNAcentral's name for it is "partial 16S ribosomal RNA". It matches the Rfam family "Bacterial small subunit ribosomal RNA", at positions 524 to 776 of the family's 1533-position model. The record is from RNAcentral.